This 253-nucleotide ribosomal RNA is filed under the name uncultured bacterium. Its description in RNAcentral is "partial 16S ribosomal RNA". It matches the Rfam family "Bacterial small subunit ribosomal RNA", at positions 524 to 776 of the family's 1533-position model. The record is from RNAcentral.
UACGGGGGGAGCAAGCGUUGUUCGGAUUUACUGGGCGUAAAGGGCGCGUAGGCGGCCACCGCAAGUCGACUGUGAAAUCUCCGGGCUUAACUCGGAAAGGUCAGCCGAUACUGCGGGCUAGAGUGCAGAAGGGGCAACUGGAAUUCUCGGUGUAGCGGUGGAAUGCGCAGAUAUCAGGAGGAACACCAAUAGCGAAGGCAGCUCGCUGGGACGUUACUGACACUGAGGCGCGAAAGCGUGGGGAGCGAACAGG